RNAcentral lists this ribosomal RNA (506 nucleotides) under soil fungal sp. DM2-159. Its description in RNAcentral is "eukaryotic LSU rRNA". It matches the Rfam family "Eukaryotic large subunit ribosomal RNA", at positions 124 to 651 of the family's 3401-position model. The record is from RNAcentral. Lineage: Eukaryota; Fungi.
GGCGUCUUCGGCGUCCGAGUUGUAAUUUGUAGAGGAUGCUUCUGAGUAACCACCGACCUAAGUUCCUNGGAACAGGACGUCAUAGAGGGUGAGAAUCCCGUAUGCGGUCGGAAAGGUGCUCUACACGUAGCUCCUUCGACGAGUCGAGUUGUUUGGGAAUGCAGCUCUAAAUGGGAGGUAAAUUUCUUCUAAAGCUAAAUAUUGGCCAGAGACCGAUAGCGCACAAGUAGAGUGAUCGAAAGAUGAAAAGCACUUUGGAAAGAGAGUUAAAAAGCACGUGAAAUUGUUAAAAGGGAAGGGAUUGCAACCAGACUUGCUCGCGGUGUUCCGCCGGUCUUCUGACCGGUCUACUCGCCGCGUUGCAGGCCAGCAUCGUCUGGUGCCGCUGGAUAAGACUUGAGGAAUGUAGCUCCCUCGGGAGUGUUAUAGCCUCUUGUGAUGCANCGAGCGCCGGGCGAGGUCCGCGCUUCGGCUAGGAUGCUGGCGUAAUGGUUGUAAUCCGCCCG